GAUGAACGCUGGCGGCGUGCUUAACACAUGCCAGUCGAACGAAGCACCUUGAUUUGAUUCUUCGGAUGAAGAUCUUGGUGACUGAGUGGCGGACGGGUGAGUAACGCGUGGGUAACCUGCCUCAUACAGGGGGAUAGCAGUUAGAAAUGACUGCUAAUACCGCAUAAGACCACAGCACCGCAUGGUGCAGGGGUAAAAACUCCGGUGGUAUGAGAUGGACCCGCGUCUGAUUAGGUAGUUGGUGGGGUAACGGCCUACCAAGCCGACGAUCAGUAGCCGACCUGAGAGGGUGACCGGCCACAUUGGGACUGAGACACGGCCCAAACUCCUACGGGAGGCAGCAGUGGGGAAUAUUGCACAAUGGGGGAAACCCUGAUGCAGCGACGCCGCGUGAGCGAUGAAGUAUUUCGGUAUGUAAAGCUCUAUCAGCAGGGAAGAAAAUGACGGUACCUGACUAAGAAGCACCGGCUAAAUACGUG
This 479-nucleotide ribosomal RNA is filed under the name uncultured bacterium. RNAcentral's name for it is "partial 16S ribosomal RNA". It matches the Rfam family "Bacterial small subunit ribosomal RNA", at positions 28 to 507 of the family's 1533-position model. The record is from RNAcentral.